RNAcentral lists this ribosomal RNA (253 nucleotides) under uncultured bacterium. Its description in RNAcentral is "partial 16S ribosomal RNA". It matches the Rfam family "Bacterial small subunit ribosomal RNA", at positions 524 to 776 of the family's 1533-position model. The record is from RNAcentral.
UACAGAGGGUGCGAGCGUUAAUCGGAAUUACUGGGCGUAAAGCGUGCGUAGGCGGUUAUGUAAGUCGGGUGUGAAAGCCCCGGGCUCAACCUGGGAAUUGCAUUCGAGACUGCAUAGCUAGGGUGCGGAAGAGGGAAGCGGAAUUUCCGGUGUAGCGGUGAAAUGCGUAGAUAUCGGAAGGAACAUCAGUGGCGAAAGCGGCUUCCUGGUCCAGCACCGACGUUCAGGCACGAAAGCGUGGGGAGCAAACAGG